GGCAGGUGUGGUGGCAUGUGCCUGUAGUUCCUGCUACUAAGUCAUCUGAGGCAGGAAGAUUGCUUGAGCUCAGGAGUCCUGGGCUGCAGUGUGCUGUGUUGAUCAGAUGUCUGCACGAAAUUAGACAUUAGUAUAGUGACCUCCUGGGAUAAGGGACUACCAGGUUGCCUAAGGAGGGGCGAACCGGCCUGGGUUGGAGACAAAGCAGGGAACAACUCCCAGUUUGACCAGCAGGGGGUCAUGCCUGUGGACAGCGACGCAGCAGGGAGAUCCUUCCCGUGGACAGCCCCACAGCAGGGAGAUCCUGCCCAU
Molecule: unclassified non-coding RNA, 312 nt
Organism: Pan troglodytes (chimpanzee)
Lineage: Eukaryota; Metazoa; Chordata; Mammalia; Primates; Hominidae
Rfam family: Metazoan signal recognition particle RNA
About the family: The signal recognition particle (SRP) is a universally conserved ribonucleoprotein. It is involved in the co-translational targeting of proteins to membranes. The eukaryotic SRP consists of a 300-nucleotide 7S RNA and six proteins: SRPs 72, 68, 54, 19, 14, and 9.
Source: Ensembl